ACUUAUUACGAUAUAAGGAGUUGAUUUAAAUUUUCGAAAUAUCAAAGGGGGUACCCUUUGUAUUGAAAUCAACACCUGCAUCUCGAGUCAGUUUACUUUGUGGUUAGUCCAAGUCACAACUAGUGUGAAUACUUACUGCCAUCACUGUGUGCGACUCCCUCGCGCAGUAGAAAGUAGCGAAGUCCCUCCAUGGUGUAUUGUUCAGCCGCCUUGAUGGGAUCCACGACAUUGUGUUUGCUCUUGGACAUCUUCUGUCCGUCCACAGUCCAGUGAGAGUGCACGUAGAGCUGCUGAGGAGGCGAGAGUCCAGCGGCUAUCAAAAAUGCUGGCCAAUAAAUGCCGUGGAACUUGAGAAUGUCCUUGCCAAUGACUUGCUGGGCAGGUGGCCAAUUCGUGACGUACUACAAAGAGAAAAAGUCAGACUUUCAAUGGGGUACCUAAUACGAAUUCCAAAAAAAAUAAUAAAAUAGGAAUGCAAUUUUAGGAAACCAAGAUAAGGAUGAAAAUAAAGGAAUCAUAAAUUAGGAAAUUGAACUAA
This is a long non-coding RNA of Drosophila innubila, 538 nucleotides long. RefSeq lists it as uncharacterized. Lineage: Eukaryota; Metazoa; Arthropoda; Insecta; Diptera; Drosophilidae. The record is from RefSeq and is a predicted model, not a curated record. The transcript is spliced from 2 exons.